GGGUUGUGAGGUUAAGCGACUAAGCGUACACGGUGGAUGCCCUGGCAGUCAGAGGCGAUGAAGGACGUGCUAAUCUGCGAAAAGCGUCGGUAAGGUGAUAUGAACCGUUAUAACCGGCGAUGUCCGAAUGGGGAAACCCAGUGUGAUUCGUCACACUAUCGUUAACUGAAUACAUAGGUUAACGAGGCGAACCGGGGGAACUGAAACAUCUAAGUACCCCGAGGAAAAGAAAUCAACCGAGAUUCCCCCAGUAGCGGCGAGCGAACGGGGAGCAGCCCAGAGUCUGAAUCAGCUUGUGUGUUAGUGGAACGGUCUGGAAAGUCCGACGGUACAGGGUGAUAGUCCCGUACACCAAAAUGCACAGGCUGUGAACUCGAAGAGUAGGGCGGGACACGUGGUAUCCUGUCUGAAUAUGGGGGGACCAUCCUCCAAGGCUAAAUACUCCUGACUGACCGAUAGUGAACCAGUACCGUGAGGGAAAGGCGAAAAGAACCCCGGCGAGGGGAGUGAAAAAGAACCUGAAACCGUGUACGUACAAGCAGUGGGAGCACCUUCGGGUGUGACUGCGUACCUUUUGUAUAAUGGGUCAGCGACUUAUAUUCUGUAGCAAGGUUAACCGUAUAGGGGAGCCGCAGGGAAACCGAGUCUUAACUGGGCGUUAAGUUGCAGGGUAUAGACCCGAAACCCGGUGAUCUAGCCAUGGGCAGGUUGAAGGUUGGGUAACACUAACUGGAGGACCGAACCGACUAAUGUUGAAAAAUUAGCGGAUGACUUGUGGCUGGGGGUGAAAGGCCAAUCAAACCGGGAGAUAGCUGGUUCUCCCCGAAAGCUAUUUAGGUAGCGCCUCGUGAAUUCAUCUUCGGGGGUAGAGCACUGUUUCGGCUAGGGGGUCAUCCCGACUUACCAACCCGAUGCAAACUACGAAUACCGAAGAAUGUUAUCACGGGAGACACACGGCGGGUGCUAACGUCCGUCGUGAAGAGGGAAACAACCCAGACCGCCAGCUAAGGUCCCAAAGUCAUGGUUAAGUGGGAAACGAUGUGGGAAGGCACAGACAGCCAGGAUGUUGGCUUAGAAGCAGCCAUCAUUUAAAGAAAGCGUAAUAGCUCACUGGUCGAGUCGGCCUGCGCGGAAGAUGUAACGGGGCUAAACCAUGCACCGAAGCUGCGGCAGCGACACUAUGUGUUGUUGGGUAGGGGAGCGUUCUGUAAGCCUGCGAAGGUGACCUGUGAGGGUUGCUGGAGGUAUCAGAAGUGCGAAUGCUGACAUAAGUAACGAUAAAGCGGGUGAAAAGCCCGCUCGCCGGAAGACCAAGGGUUCCUGUCCAACGUUAAUCGGGGCAGGGUGAGUCGACCCCUAAGGCGAGGCCGAAAGGCGUAGUCGAUGGGAAACAGGUUAAUAUUCCUGUACUUGGUGUUACUGCGAAGGGGGGACGGAGAAGGCUAUGUUAGCCGGGCGACGGUUGUCCCGGUUUAAGCAUGUAGGCUGAUUGUCCAGGCAAAUCCGGAUAAUCAAGGCUGAGGUGUGAUGACGAGGCACUACGGUGCUGAAGUAACAAAUGCCCUGCUUCCAGGAAAAGCCUCUAAGCAUCAGGUAACAUUAAAUCGUACCCCAAACCGACACAGGUGGUCAGGUAGAGAAUACCAAGGCGCUUGAGAGAACUCGGGUGAAGGAACUAGGCAAAAUGGUGCCGUAACUUCGGGAGAAGGCACGCUGGUGUGUAGGUGAAGUCCCUGCGGAUGGAGCUGAGACCAGUCGAAGAUACCAGCUGGCUGCAACUGUUUAUUAAAAACACAGCACUGUGCAAACACGAAAGUGGACGUAUACGGUGUGACGCCUGCCCGGUGCCGGAAGGUUAAUUGAUGGGGUUAUCCGUAAGGAGAAGCUCUUGAUCGAAGCCCCGGUAAACGGCGGCCGUAACUAUAACGGUCCUAAGGUAGCGAAAUUCCUUGUCGGGUAAGUUCCGACCUGCACGAAUGGCGUAAUGAUGGCCAGGCUGUCUCCACCCGAGACUCAGUGAAAUUGAACUCGCUGUGAAGAUGCAGUGUACCCGCGGCAAGACGGAAAGACCCCGUGAACCUUUACUAUAGCUUGACACUGAACAUUGAGCCUUGAUGUGUAGGAUAGGUGGGAGGCUUUGAAGCGUGGACGCCAGUCUGCGUGGAGCCAACCUUGAAAUACCACCCUUUAAUGUUUGAUGUUCUAACGUUGGCCCCUGACCGGGGUUGCGGACAGUGUCUGGUGGGUAGUUUGACUGGGGCGGUCUCCUCCCAAAGCGUAACGGAGGAGCACGAAGGUUAGCUAAUCCUGGUCGGACAUCAGGAGGUUAGUGCAAUGGCAUAAGCUAGCUUGACUGCGAGCGUGACGGCGCGAGCAGGUGCGAAAGCAGGUCAUAGUGAUCCGGUGGUUCUGAAUGGAAGGGCCAUCGCUCAACGGAUAAAAGGUACUCCGGGGAUAACAGGCUGAUACCGCCCAAGAGUUCAUAUCGACGGCGGUGUUUGGCACCUCGAUGUCGGCUCAUCACAUCCUGGGGCUGAAGUAGGUCCCAAGGGUAUGGCUGUUCGCCAUUUAAAGUGGUACGCGAGCUGGGUUUAGAACGUCGUGAGACAGUUCGGUCCCUAUCUGCCGUGGGCGCUGGAGAAUUGAGGGGGCUGCUCCUAGUACGAGAGGACCGGAGUGGACGCAUCACUGGUGUUCGGGUUGUCAUGCCAAUGGCACUGCCCGGUAGCUAAAUGCGGAAGAGAUAAGUGCUGAAAGCAUCUAAGCACGAAACUUGCCCCGAGAUGAGUUCUCCCUGAGACUUUAAGUCUCCUGAAGGAACGUUGAAGACGACGACGUUGAUAGGCCGGGUGUGUAAGCGCAGCGAUGCGUUGAGCUAACCGGUACUAAUGAACCGUGAGGCUUAACCUUACAACGCCGAAG
RNAcentral lists this ribosomal RNA (2922 nucleotides) under Klebsiella pneumoniae subsp. pneumoniae. RNAcentral describes it as "bacterial LSU rRNA". It matches the Rfam family "Bacterial large subunit ribosomal RNA". The record is from RNAcentral. Lineage: Bacteria; Pseudomonadati; Pseudomonadota; Gammaproteobacteria; Enterobacterales; Enterobacteriaceae.